GUGCCAGCCGCCGCGGUAAUACGGGGGGUGCGAGCGUUGUCCGGAAUCACUGGGCGUAAAGGGCGCGUAGGUGGUUUGAUAAGGGUGUGGUGAAAGUCCGGGGCUCAACCCCGGAUCUGCCGUGCCGACUGUCAAACUCGAGGGCUGUAGAGGCAGACGGAAUUCCGGGUGUAGCGGUGGAAUGCGUAGAGAUCCGGAGGAAGACCGGUGGCGAAGGCGGUCUGCUGGGCAGUUUCUGACACUGAUGCGCGACAGCGUGGGGAGCAAACAGGAUUAGAUACCCGCGUAGUCC
RNAcentral lists this ribosomal RNA (292 nucleotides) under uncultured bacterium. Its description in RNAcentral is "partial 16S ribosomal RNA". It matches the Rfam family "Bacterial small subunit ribosomal RNA", at positions 505 to 796 of the family's 1533-position model. The record is from RNAcentral.